Molecule: ribosomal RNA, 114 nt
Filed under: Acanthosepion pharaonis
Lineage: Eukaryota; Metazoa; Mollusca; Cephalopoda; Sepiida; Sepiidae
Source: RNAcentral
UUACGGCCACAUCACGUUGAAACAUCGGUUCCCGUAUAAUCACCGAAGUUAAGCAACAUCAAGACUGGUAGGUACUUAGAUGGGUGACCGCUUGGAAAUACCAGGUGCUGUAAG